Molecule: long non-coding RNA, 1640 nt
Organism: Limulus polyphemus (Atlantic horseshoe crab)
Lineage: Eukaryota; Metazoa; Arthropoda; Merostomata; Xiphosura; Limulidae
Exons: 4
Source: RefSeq, a predicted model, not a curated record
UGUUUUUUUUACGCGUAAAGGAUGAAAGGGGAGCAUGAGAGGUGAGUGUGUGGGGGGGAGGAGUAAGGGACAUGAAAAUAUUUUUUAUGAGUGCUCCAGGCGAACGGUUGGUACCAAGGCCUGUUGGCUGUCGAGCUCACUCGUGAUGCUACACCAUGCGACUAAACAUCGCUCGCGCUCAUAAUCGUGGUUGGUAAGCGGUUUUGGUAAGCGUGGUUGGUACUGCUUAAUAAAUAAUUUACUAUAAAUAUCUUUAGUAACUUCAAAACAACCAUACAUUUUUCUACGUUGGUGGAUAUGUGAAGUGCACUAAAUGUUAUAUGUGUGGUUAAAUAAGAUAAGCAAAUUCUACUAAUUCCUCGUACUCAUUUUUCCGGGUUAAAGUCUGGUGCCGAGCGGAACACUGAGAGUGGCUUAGCCGCUUGGUUAGAUGGAGAACGACGACCUGCAUCAGUGUGGAGUAAGGCCUAAGCUUUGAGGCUCGCAGAAUCGCAAAGUACUCAGCUGUAUGGAUUAGGUUCCUGUAUUUUCUGUUAAAUACUAGUCCUAUUUUCUUCUGUAGAUGUCAAGGGUGCUCUUACAACAGAUACAUACUAACGUUCUUCGGGUCACGAUAUUCUGUUUCUUUAUUAUACGAGAUUUUGAUUAAGCUCGACAGACAUUUCGAAAUUUUACGCUUCUAAAUGCCUUUGCACAAGUAUUAUUGCCGUCUGGCCGCAGUGAAAACCAUCUUCAUUCUAGAGUACUUGAAUACGUACUCCAACAGUCUAGUUCAUCUCAACCCUCUAUUUCAACUAAGUGCAGGGUCUUCAUGAUGAUCCGGACAAGGAUACUUCUAACAGAGUGAAUGGCACCAGGAUGACGUAGAAGUUAUAAACGGUUUUUAUAUACUUUCAAGUCAUUCAAGAUAGAAUUAAAACUAUAAAAUGCAACAGUGUACUUGGUGAACUCUGCACCUUACAGAUAUAAGGUGCCGAGAGAUGAAAGUCUUAAGGAAAGCUACCAGUAUUCACUCUGAGGGUGUUCGCGGGUUGAGGUAGUAGGUUGUAUAGUUGAGAACUACAUCUUUGGGGAGAACUGUACAGCCUGCUAACUUUCCCUGGGUCAUCCCAAACCGCCCAGAAAAUCAUCCUUCUCACGUGAUAUUUCAGAUUCUAUUUCCUUACUACACGUGGAGCUGCAGUGUGUUUUUAGGUGAAAACUAAAUUUUACUCAUUACAGUAUUUCUGGACAUUAAAACCCAACUAAGUGUUAAGAAGAAUAACUUAUCUGUCGUAAAUUGCAGACGCCAUUUUUUACAGUUGCAUAUCAUGUAUCUGUGCAAACGUUUAGAAGUAACCGUUUUUGUUUUCCAGAGGAGUAGUUUCAUAAUUUACUCAUUAAAUGUUCUAGAAUGUUCGUGACGGCUUAUAACAUUAGCAUCAAGCUAUUUGAUUUAUGUACUGAACUAAGAUUCUUGGUUUGUUAAGAUAAAUAUAUUCAAAAAAUAAAAUGAAAUAAAAAUGAAACGUAUUUGAUAUGGUUUAUUCAAAAUAGUCCUGGCUAUAUUAACUGUAAAAUUUUACCGAUAGCAAAGUCAAGGUCACUGAUUGCACUGGUUGUAUUUUUUUAUCUCUGUCGCAAAUAAAAUAUCUGUAAGA